UCGAACGCGAAAGUCCCGCAAGGGAUAAGUAGAGUGGCAAACGGGUGAGUAACACGUGGGUGACCUGCCUUCGAGCGGGGGAUAACGUCCCGAAAGGGACGCUAAUACCGCAUAACAUCCUGCCUUUUAAGAGGUGGAGAUCAAAGCCGGGGACCGCAAGGCCUGGCACUUGAAGAGGGGCCCGCGUCUGAUUAGCUAGUUGGUGAGGUAAUGGCUCACCAAGGCAACGAUCAGUAUCCGGCCUGAGAGGGCGGACGGACACACUGGGACUGAGACACGGCCCAGACUCCUACGGGAGGCAGCAGUGGGGAAUUGUUCGCAAUGGGCGCAAGCCUGACGACGCAACGCCGCGUGGAGGAUGAAGACCUUCGGGUCGUAAACUCCUUUCGAUCGAGACGAAUGGCUUCCGGGUGAACAAUCCGGAAGAGUGACGGUACCGAGAGAAGAAGCCCCGGCUAACUCCGUGCCAGCAGCCGCGGUAAUACGGGGGGGGCAAGCGUUGUUCGGAAUUACUGGGCGUAAAGGGCUCGUAGGCGGCCAACUAAGUCAGACGUGAAAUCCCUCGGCUUAACCGGGGAACUGCGUCUGAUACUGGAUGGCUUGAGAUUGGGAGAGGGAUGCGGAAUUCCAGGUGUAGCGGUGAAAUGCGUAGAUAUCUGGAGGAACACCGGUGGCGAAGGCGGCAUCCUGGACCAACACUGACGCUGAGGAGCGAAAGCCAGGGGAGCAAACGGGAUUAGAUACCCCGGUAGUCCUGGCCCUAA
Molecule: ribosomal RNA, 764 nt
Filed under: uncultured bacterium
Lineage: Bacteria
Description: bacterial SSU rRNA
Rfam family: Bacterial small subunit ribosomal RNA
Source: RNAcentral